AUGCAGGAAACAGCAAAGCUAGCGUGGCAAUCAAUGGCGCUAUCAGUAUCAGCUGCUGCUCCCGGCCAGGGCCAGCAGGAACCGCCGUCGGGGAAGCAGUUGAGCUACCAGCUCGCCGCUGCUGUGAGGAGCAUCAACUGGACUUACGCCAUUUUCUGGUCCAUGUCCACCGGCCUGCGCCCACCUGGAGUUCUGACAUGGAAGAACGGGUUCUAUAACGGCGAGGUAAAGACAAGGAAGAUCAUUAGCUCCACCACGACGGAGCUUACCGCCGACGACCUCGUCCUGCAGAGAAGCGAGCAACUGAGGGAGCUCUACCAGUCGCUCUUGUCCGGCAAGGCGGACCACCGUGCCAAGCGUCCCGCCGCCUCGCUGUCGCCGGAGGAUCUCGGGGAAGCCGAGUGGUACCACACGCUAAGCAUGACUUAUGCCUUCCGGCCUGGUCAAGGGUUGCCAGGCAAGAGCUUUGCGAGCAAUCAACAUGUUUGGUUAUACAACGCUCAAUACGCAGACACCAAAACUUUCCAGCGCGCUCUCUUAGCAAAGACCGCGCCUAUUCAGACAGUUGUUUGCAUUCCCUUCAUGGGUGGCGUGCUCGAGCUCGGGACAUUGGAUUUGGUAUUGGAGGAUCCGAAUAUGGUGAACCAGAUUGGCACAUCUUUCUGGGAGCUACCCUUUUUGGCAUGCUCGGAGUCUGAGCUGCCAAGCUCCAAUCCAUCAAUAGACGAAGCAGGGAACAGGGAGGUAGACAUCGUCGUGUUAGAAGACCUCGAUCACAAUGUCGCCAAGGGGAUAAUCUCUGAGCUUGGGGAGGUCGAGUGCAUGUCCGACGUCAACCUUGAUCAUGUCACUGAGGAGGUGGACGAGUUCUAUGGCCUCAUCGAGGAGUUGGAUGUGCGUUCUCUUGAGGACAACUGGGUCAUGGAAAGGUCAUUUGAGUACAUGUCUUCCUUGGAAAUGGCACCAGACAUGGACGCACGGAGCAUUGAUGAUGCCAUCAUCACUUUAAGUAGCUUUGUUAAAGGCUCUCGUCCAUCCUGCUUUACGGUGUGGAAGAGGUCAUCUGACUGUGAAGACAUGGUUGCGCGGGUCACCGGGGAGUCACAAAAGUUGUUGAAGAAAGCUAUAGCCGGCGGUGCAUGGACAACGAGACCUCAAGAAAGUAACAUCAAGACGCAUGUCCUGUCGGAAAGGAGGCGCCGAGAGAAGCUCAAUGAUAUGUUCCUAGUUCUCAAGUCAAUGGUCCCGUCCAUUAACAAGAUGGACAAAGCAUCCAUCCUAGCUGAAACUAUAACCUAUCUCAGAGAGCUAGAACAAAGGGUAGAAGAGCUAGAAACUAGCAGGGCACCGUCAUCGCGCCCAAAUGAAGCAAUGGGACGGGGGAUCCAUGAGGUUGUCAGCGGGAAGAAGAUCAAGCUAUCAACUGGAUCAAAGAGGAAGGUGCUAGAGACGGAGAUGGAGGACAAUGAUUGCCCAAGCAACAUUGUUAAUGUGACCGUGAUGGACAAGGAGGUGCUCUUGGAGGUGCAGUGCCGAUGGAAGGGGUUGUUGAUGACACGGGUGUUCGACGCUAUCAAGAGCCUCCGCCUGGACAUCGUCUCUGUGCACGCAUCCACACCGGAAGGUCUUCUUGAUCUCAAGAUACGAGCUACUCAGCAAGCCUCGAUCGCACCAACUUCUAAGCUUGCAGUAGGUUCUGCUACCAUUGCACCUGGGAUGAUCACUGAAGCGCUUCAGAAAGCUAUAUGCAUCCGCUGA
RNAcentral lists this ribosomal RNA (1758 nucleotides) under Triticum aestivum (bread wheat). RNAcentral describes it as "partial small subunit ribosomal RNA". The record is from RNAcentral. Lineage: Eukaryota; Viridiplantae; Streptophyta; Magnoliopsida; Poales; Poaceae.